AGGCGCGGAUCUUCAGAGAUUAGAGUUUGAUCAUGGCUCAGGAUGAACGCUGGCGGCGUGCCUAAUACAUGCAAGUCGAGCGGUAAGGCUCCUCCAGGCUAUUUAAACGAAAAAGUUUGAAUGGUGUGGUGGAGUACACGAGCGGCGGACGGCUGAGUAACACGUAGGAACGUACCCCAAACUGAGGGAUAACUGCUCGAAAGAGUAGCUAAUACCGCAUGUGAUCUUCGGAUUAAAGCUUCGGCGGUUUGGGAACGGCCUGCGCAUGAUUAGCUUGUUGGUGAGGUAAUGGCUCACCAAGGCGACGAUCAUUAGCUGGUCUGAGAGGAUGAUCAGCCAGACUGGGACUGAGAACGGCCCAGACUCCUACGGGAGGCAGCAGUAGGGAAUUUUCCACAAUGGGCGAAAGCCUGAUGGAGCAACGCCGCGUGCAGGAUGAAUGCCUUCGGGUUGUAAACUGCUUUUAUCUGUGAAGAUUAUGACGGUAGCAGAUGAAUAAGGAUCGGCUAACUCCGUGCCAGCAGCCGCGGUCAUACGGAGGAUCCAAGCGUUAUCCGGAAUUACUGGGCGUAAAGAGUUGCGUAGGCGGCAUUGUAAGCAGGUAGUGAAAGCGUGUGGCUCAACCAUACUCACAUUACCUGAACUGCAAAGCUAGAGGACAAGAGAGGUCACUGGAAUUCCUAGUGUAGGAGUGAAAUCCGUAGAUAUUAGGAGGAACACCGAUGGCGUAGGCAGGUGACUGGCUUGUUCCUGACGCUCAGGCACGAAAGCGUGGGUAGCAAACGGGAUUAGAUACCCCGGUAGUCCACGCCGUAAACGAUGGAUGCUAGCUGUAUUCGGUAUCGACCCCGGAUGUAGCGAAGCUAACGCGUUAAGCAUCCCGCCUGUGGAGUACGGUCGCAAGACUAAAACAUAAAGGAAUUGACGGGGACCCGCACAAGCGGUGGAGCGUGUUGUUUAAUUCGAUGGUAAACGAAGAACCUUACCCAGGCUUGACAUCCAUGGAUUUCUCGAAAGGAGAGAGUGCUUUAUUGACCAUGUGACAGUGUGCAUGUCGUCGUCAGCUCGUGUCGUGAGAUGUUUGGUAGUCAUCACGAGCGCACCCUAUU
RNAcentral lists this ribosomal RNA (1109 nucleotides) under uncultured bacterium. Its description in RNAcentral is "bacterial SSU rRNA". It matches the Rfam family "Bacterial small subunit ribosomal RNA", at positions 1 to 1107 of the family's 1533-position model. The record is from RNAcentral.